This is a long non-coding RNA of Ooceraea biroi (clonal raider ant), 158 nucleotides long. RefSeq lists it as uncharacterized. NCBI's taxonomy places the organism in Eukaryota, Metazoa, Arthropoda, Insecta, Hymenoptera, Formicidae. The record is from RefSeq and is a predicted model, not a curated record.
ACCUGCAGAAGAAAAGGCUCACUAGAGUUAGAGCUGAAGAAGCUGUUCUUUAGAUACACUAGCGAAGUAGUGGCAAAUGCCGUUUAAAACUGAUGCUGUUCGUGCCUAGGCAGGUGGAUCAUUUCUUUCGCACUAUUGAGCAGAUUUUGCUCAGACAA